AACGAACGCUGGCGGCAGGCCUAACACAUGCAAGUCGAACGCCGUAGCAAUACGGAGUGGCAGACGGGUGAGUAACACGUGGGAACGUACCCUUCGGUUCGGAAUAACUCAGGGAAACUUGAGCUAAUACCGGAUACGUCCGAGAGGAGAAAGAUUUAUCACCGAGGGAUCGGCCCGCGUCUGAUUAGCUUGUUGGUGAGGUAACGGCUCACCAAGGCGACGAUCAGUAGCUGGUCNGAGAGGAUGAUCAGCCACAUUGGGACUGAGACACGGCCCAAACUCCUACGGGAGGCAGCAGUGGGGAAUAUUGGACAAUGGGCGCAAGCCUGAUCCAGCCAUGCCGCGUGAGUGAUGAAGGCCCUAGGGUUGUAAAGCUCUUUUACCCGGGAAGAUAAUGACUGUACCGGGAGAAUAAGCCCCGGCUAACUUCGUGCCAGCAGCCGCUGUAAG
RNAcentral lists this ribosomal RNA (450 nucleotides) under uncultured bacterium. RNAcentral's name for it is "bacterial SSU rRNA". It matches the Rfam family "Bacterial small subunit ribosomal RNA", at positions 29 to 524 of the family's 1533-position model. The record is from RNAcentral.